Molecule: ribosomal RNA, 424 nt
Filed under: uncultured bacterium
Lineage: Bacteria
Description: partial 16S ribosomal RNA
Rfam family: Bacterial small subunit ribosomal RNA
Source: RNAcentral
UUUAUUCGUCAUUGGGUGAAAGCCUGAUUCAGCUAUGCCGCUUGUCUUAAGCAUUNCCNNUGCUUNUNAAUCACUUUACGUUGNNNNNAAGGCUUGUAGCCUACUACUCUACACUUUUGACGUUACCGACAGAAUAAGCACCGGCUAACUUCGUGCUAUCAGCAGCGGUAAUACGAAGGGUGCAAGCGUUCAUCGGAAUUACUGGGCGUAAAGCGCGCGUAGGUGGUUCGUUAAGUUAGAUGUGAAAGCCCCGGGCUCAACCUGGGAACUGCAUCCAAGACUGGCGAGCUAGAGUAAGGUAGAGGGUGGUGGAAUUUCCUGUGUAGCGGUGAAAUGCGUAGAUAUAGGAAGGAACACCAGUGGCGAAGGCGACCACCUGGACUGAUACUGACACUGAGGUGCGAAAGCGUGGGGAGCAAACAGG